UUUCCGUAGGUGAACCUGCGGAAGGAUCAUUAUCGUAAAACCGAGGUGCGAGGGCUGUCGGGGACCUUUUCGGUCGUGCACGCCCGAGCGCUCUCACACAAUCCAUCUCACCCCUUGUGCACCACCGCGUGGGUCCCUUUCUGGCUCGUCCGGCGGGGGGCUCGCGUUUUCACACAAACUUGAAGUAGUGUAGAAUGUCCUUUUUUUGCGAUAACACGCAAUACAUACAACUUUCAGCAACGGAUCUCUUGGCUCUC
RNAcentral lists this unclassified non-coding RNA (257 nucleotides) under plant metagenome. RNAcentral describes it as "partial contains small subunit ribosomal RNA, internal transcribed spacer 1, and 5.8S ribosomal RNA". The record is from RNAcentral.